GGCCUCCUGGUGCUUACCACAGGCUGUGUUCUUACACUGACUAUAGAAAGAGGAGGAAAAAUAAACCCACCCUGUAUGUACCUCAGCCCAGUUCUUGUGCCUGGUCAGUAUUGUGAAUGGGGAGAAAUGG
This 130-nucleotide small nucleolar RNA is filed under the name Castor canadensis (American beaver). RNAcentral's name for it is "Small nucleolar RNA SNORA51 (ENSCCNG00000030392.1)". It matches the Rfam family "Small nucleolar RNA SNORA51". From Rfam's summary of the family: ACA51 is a member of the H/ACA class of snoRNA that guide the sites of modification of uridines to pseudouridines. Lineage: Eukaryota; Metazoa; Chordata; Mammalia; Rodentia; Castoridae. The record is from Rfam by way of RNAcentral.